This 2142-nucleotide long non-coding RNA is filed under the name Gossypium barbadense (sea-island cotton). RNAcentral's name for it is "long non-coding RNA (GBAR_LNC010025)". The record is from RNAcentral. Lineage: Eukaryota; Viridiplantae; Streptophyta; Magnoliopsida; Malvales; Malvaceae.
AAACAUAUAAAUUAUAGCUCAUAAUUAUUUUUAUACAAUUUUUAAUGAUUUUCCCAAUUCAGAAUAGGGAAUUCUAAAAUCAAUCUGACAUUGUCUCACAAAAAUUCAAAUUCAUACCAAUUUAGUCAAAUCCUAUUUUAUACCAUAACCAAACCUAAAUUUAUUUAUUUCAUCCUUACAUUUACAAUUUUAAAAUGACACACACAUAAGACAUCCUAGGUACAUGCCAUUACCCAUAAUUAACACACUUUAUCUCAUUGAAUUCGGGAUCGGCCUGGGAUGCUGAUUCAACGUUCUAUCUUUACUUUACCUGCGCACAGAAACAAACCGUACGCUGAGUAUGGUAUACUCAGUGGUAUUUCUAUAACCCAAACACUUAAUAAUAUAACAAUUAAACUUAAAAUCACAAUAACAAAUAUAACUAUUCAUUUAUUUAUUUUAUAGAUAAGUUUCAUUUACUUACCAUAAAAAUUCUAUACAAGCCAUAUAACAAACACAACAACAUAUUUGCUCAAUUCUUUUCAUUUGCUUACCGUAUAAAUUAUAUUCACAAUUCACUUGUAUUCACACUUUACUUCUUAACAAUAUACCAUUUUAAUUCAUUCUAACAUCAAUCAUCAUCCAUUUGAACUUCACUCAUUUCACGAACCUUUUGGUUCAUGUUUUCAAUCUCAUAUCUCAAUUUCAAUUCUCAAUUCAAUUUCUCAUUUCAUUCCAAUAGCUCAAUCAAUCAAAUUCGCUCGAUUUAUCUUUUCACUUAUUUACCCCUAUUAACAAGACUCAGACUCUGAUAGAUACGUGGAUUCCUCCCAAACACACCAGAAUAUCCAACCCAAACACACCACGGAAUAUUAUAAAUCCACACACCAGUAUAUCAUAUCCUCCCAAACACACCAAUAAGGCAUUAAAUUCCUCUUCAGAUAAACCGAAGUAUAUAAUAACAGAAACAUCUUCUCGGCCGAACUACAAAUCUCCUCAUCACAUCAUAAAUCCAAUGGCAUGCCAUUUGUAUCCAAUCUGGUCCGAUACUGUUAAUAGGGUAUUUGAUUCACUUUCUCAAUUUAAUAAAUCUUUCAUCAAUCUACCACUCUAAUAAUCACAUAUAUUCACACAUUUCCAUAAUUUCAUAUAUUUUCAUUCAAUUCAACAAAUAUAUUUCAAUUAUUCACAUUAAUUCAUAAUUCAAUACAACACAAUUCACUUUUCAAUAUCAAAUAUUCAAUUAUCACAAAUCUCAUAUAUUCAUAUCAAUUCCCUCAUAUUCCAAUCAAUAUAAUUUUUCAAUAUAACAUUCAUUCAAUAUUCAAAUUUUUACAUAAAUCAUAUAUAUAAUAUAUAUUUCAAUCAAUAUAAAUUCAAUCAAAAUGAUUUCAAUCAAUAUAAAUUUGAUAAAUUCAUCACAUACCAAAAUCAAUCAAUUUCAAUUGUAAAAUAUCAUAAUUCUAACACUAACAAUUGUCAUCUGUAUAUAAAUAUAACAAAUAAUGACUGAGUUCGGAUUAUAGAAAUACAAACCGUAUUUUCUCGAGCUAACUCCCGUUGUCUUUGCCAUUUUUCCUUGCUUAGCCGAGAUUUCCCGAGACAACAUUAGCUAUGAGAAUUAAAACAAUUCAUAUUCGUUAAUUCUCUACUAAUUUAUAUCUAAUUAAUAAAUUUUGAUUCAAUUUCUACUUUAAUUUCAAUUUAAUCUUAACUAAAUUCACUUACUUUUUCUAUCUCAAUUCAUACUUCAUUUCUAUUCAAAUUUUGUCCAAACUCAUACUUAACUAUUAAAUUUUCAGCAUAUUUUCCUAAUUUCGAAAAUUUCAUCAAUUUAGUCCCUUCAACAUAAAACUUAUGAAUUACUUUACAAUUCAUUCCUUAUUUCAUUUCUAACUUGAAUUCCUAUCAAUCUAACCACUAAUUCAUUUUUUUAUUCAACAUGAACAAUAUUUAGAAUUCUAAUAACUUUCAAAAUAUUAAUUUAAUUUCAUCAAAACUUUGUUCUAAAGCUUUUAAAACAUCAAAAUUAAGUAAAAAUGGCUAAAUUAACUUACCUAUUAAACUUCCAAACCUUCAAACCCUAAUUCUCCCUUUUCUUUUCUUUCUCCUUUCUUUCUUUCCUUCCCCUGCUUUUCGUUUGCCUAUUCUGUUUUUUUUCUU